GACGAACGCUGGCGGCGUGCCUAAUACAUGCAAGUCGAACGCUGAAGAGAGGAGCUUGCUCUUCUUGGAUGAGUUGCGAACGGGUGAGUAACGCGUAGGUAACCUGCCUUGUAGCGGGGGAUAACUAUUGGAAACGAUAGCUAAUACCGCAUAACAAUGGAUGACACAUGUCAUUUAUUUGAAAGGGGCAAUUGCUCCACUACAAGAUGGACCUGCGUUGUAUUAGCUAGUAGGUGAGGUAACGGCUCACCUAGGCGACGAUACAUAGCCGACCUGAGAGGGUGAUCGGCCACACUGGGACUGAGACACGGCCCAGACUCCUACGGGAGGCAGCAGUAGGGAAUCUUCGGCAAUGGGGGCAACCCUGACCGAGCAACGCCGCGUGAGUGAAGAAGGUUUUCGGAUCGUAAAGCUCUGUUGUAAGUCAAGAACGAGUGUGAGAGUGGAAAGUUGACACUGUGACGGUAGCUUACCAGAAAGGGACGGCUAACUACGUG
This 497-nucleotide ribosomal RNA is filed under the name uncultured bacterium. RNAcentral describes it as "partial 16S ribosomal RNA". It matches the Rfam family "Bacterial small subunit ribosomal RNA", at positions 28 to 507 of the family's 1533-position model. The record is from RNAcentral.